Centruroides sculpturatus (bark scorpion) is the source of this 757-nucleotide long non-coding RNA. RefSeq lists it as uncharacterized. The transcript is spliced from 3 exons. Lineage: Eukaryota; Metazoa; Arthropoda; Arachnida; Scorpiones; Buthidae. The record is from RefSeq and is a predicted model, not a curated record.
GCUGAGAAGUGAGAGAUGAAGUGGGCGGAGUUGUAUGAAGUGAUUGUCUCAAACUUUUACUUUCCUUACUUCAAUCUGCAGUAGUUUACGACUGAUGUAAAGGCAACUAUAAAAGUUUAUGAAAUUGCCAGCAUCUAGGAGCCAUACAGCUAAGACGGAAGAAUAUAAGAGUGGAAGAAAGGAAGAAAAAUAAAAACCGAAAAAGGAAAACAAAGCUACCAAUAAAAUUUUACUACCGCUCUGGGGGAUCCGGAAUCGAUCCGCAGGAUAACCCAGAAAUUUUUCAUGGAUGGUCUGUCCCGGAUAUGCCCACGUCCCAUCCUUCAUCACCCUCCUGGAAGAACCCACGAUGGGCAUGGAAAACUGCUCUCCAUAGUGCCCAUAAGGAGGAGAGUUAAUAAUGGGAGAUGUAAUUCGGUAAUUUAAAAAUUUGAAACAGUAGCCAAUAAGAAUGCAAGAAAAAUUAUGAUUGACCAAUAGGAGAAGAGUUAGCAGUGUGAUUCAUACAGAUAAAGCAAAAGUAUAUUUAAAUGGGUUUUUUUUUGCGUGUUUUUAACUAGGAAAUAUGAUAUACGCCGUUUCACGUGACAUAAUUAGCAACGCGACAGUUAAUUAACUAGGCAUAUGCCUACGGUUACUUGAUAUUGCCUUGGGACAUCAUCCUGAAAUGAGGUAAAUGGGAAUUUCAAUGAUAAAAUGACUUGACAUAUUCACUCCCGUUAUCAAAACAUUAUCACUGAGUAAAAUAAGUGUUUUU